GAUGAUAGUUCUACUUUGCAUGAAAACGGGCACUGCAAAGAUCGUCUACUUACGACGUGCCCUUCUGAAGCGGCACCAUCUUUACUAGGUGCUUAAUCUCUUUACUGCAGAUAUAGUAAAGCUAGUACCUUCUUGUCCCAUACUUUGCUCAAAAGAUCGCGAAUUUGUUUGAUGGUUACAACUUGCAUUGUCAUAUAGCUAUAACUUUUGGAUUUUGUGUAAGCAGGGCAACACUUUUGCCGGUUUAACAUUGCGGAAGAGAAGUUGGGGAAAGG
This 275-nucleotide long non-coding RNA is filed under the name Linum usitatissimum (flax). Its description in RNAcentral is "long non-coding RNA (LUSI_LNC000880)". The record is from RNAcentral. Lineage: Eukaryota; Viridiplantae; Streptophyta; Magnoliopsida; Malpighiales; Linaceae.